GAGACACUGACACGCCGGCAGCACAAUGAUGAUGUCACUGACUCUACUGCUGGCCACCCUGGGGCUCCUUCUUCAGGGUUCAUCAGGAGACAUCAUCCUGACUCAGUCUCCUGGAGCUCAGUCUGUGGUUGCAGGGCAGUCUGUCUCCAUCACAUGUAGAACCAGUACAAGUGUUGGUGGCUACCUUCACUGGUACCUUCAGAAACCUGGCAAAGCUCCUAAACUCCUGAUUUAUAAAGCUACAAAUCGUCAGUCUGGAGUUUCAGAUCAUUUCAGUGGAAGUGGAUCUGGCACUGAGUACACUCUGAGCAUCAGAGGAGUCCAGGCUGAAGAUUCAGGAGUUUAUUACUGUCAGCAGGGUUACAGCUCGUUCACACAGUGA
Molecule: non-coding RNA, 382 nt
Organism: Pelmatolapia mariae (spotted tilapia)
Lineage: Eukaryota; Metazoa; Chordata; Actinopteri; Cichliformes; Cichlidae
Source: the annotation of a RefSeq genome assembly